CGCAAUGGACGAAAGUCUGACGGAACAACGCCGCGUGAACGAAGAAGGCCUUCGGGUCGUAAAGUUCUGUUGUUAGGGAAGAACAAGUACCAGAGUAACUGCUGGUACCUUGACGGUACCUAACCAGAAAGCCACGGCUAACUACGUGCCAGCAG
Molecule: ribosomal RNA, 155 nt
Filed under: uncultured Bacillota bacterium
Lineage: Bacteria; Bacillati; Bacillota
Description: uncultured Firmicutes bacterium partial 16S ribosomal RNA
Rfam family: Bacterial small subunit ribosomal RNA
Source: RNAcentral